Molecule: ribosomal RNA, 434 nt
Filed under: uncultured bacterium
Lineage: Bacteria
Description: partial 16S ribosomal RNA
Rfam family: Bacterial small subunit ribosomal RNA
Source: RNAcentral
AACGAACGCUGGCGGCAUGCCUAAUACAUGCAAGUCGAACGAGAUCUUCGGGUCUAGUGGCGCACGGGUGCGUAACGCGUGGGAAUCUGCCCUCAGGUUCGGAAUAACCAUUGGAAACGAUGGCUAAUACCGGAUGAUGACGUUAAGUCCAAAGAUUUAUCGCCUGAGGAUGAGCCCGCGUAGGAUUAGCUAGUUGGUGUGGUAAAGGCGCACCAAGGCGACGAUCCUUAGCUGGUCUGAGAGGAUGAUCAGCCACACUGGGACUGAGACACGGCCCAGACUCCUACGGGAGGCAGCAGUGGGGAAUAUUGGACAAUGGGCGAAAGCCUGAUCCAGCAAUGCCGCGUGAGUGAUGAAGGCCUUAGGGUUGUAAAGCUCUUUUACCCGGGAUGAUAAUGACAGUACCGGGAGAAUAAGCUCCGGCUAACUCCGUG